UAACGUCUACCGACUAAACCCCAACCAGC
This 29-nucleotide small RNA is filed under the name Bombyx mori (domestic silkworm). RNAcentral's name for it is "piRNA piR-bmo-1396707". The record is from RNAcentral. Lineage: Eukaryota; Metazoa; Arthropoda; Insecta; Lepidoptera; Bombycidae.